RNAcentral lists this transfer RNA (74 nucleotides) under Cytobacillus firmus. RNAcentral's name for it is "tRNA-Arg". It matches the Rfam family "tRNA". From Rfam's summary of the family: Transfer RNA (tRNA) molecules are approximately 80 nucleotides in length. Their secondary structure includes four short double-helical elements and three loops (D, anti-codon, and T loops). The record is from RNAcentral. RNAcentral also lists the same sequence under 10 other names. Lineage: Bacteria; Bacillati; Bacillota; Bacilli; Caryophanales; Bacillaceae.
GUCUCAGUAGCUCAGCUGGAUAGAGCGACAGCCUCCUAAGCUGUAGGUCGUGAGUUCGAAUCUCGCCUGGGACG